This is a non-coding RNA of Misgurnus anguillicaudatus (oriental weatherfish), 567 nucleotides long. NCBI's taxonomy places the organism in Eukaryota, Metazoa, Chordata, Actinopteri, Cypriniformes, Cobitidae. The record is from RefSeq and is a predicted model, not a curated record.
CUGAAAGUGCAAAAUGCUUUCAGAUUGUCCUACUAGUAUAGAUUAAACAGGUAGGAUGACCUGAAAGUGCAAAAUGCUUUCAGAUUGCCCUACUAGUAUAAAUUUAAAAUGUAGGAUGACCUGAAGGUGCAAAAUGCUUUCAGACUGUCCUACUAGUAUAAAUAAACAUGGAGGAUAGCCUGACUGUACCAAAUGCUGUCAGAUUGUCCUACUAGUAUAAAUUAAACAAGUAGGAUAACCUUAAAGUGCAAAAUGCUUUCAGACUGUCCUACUAGUAUAAAUAAACAUGGAGGAUAGCCUGACUGUACCAAAUGCUGUCAGAUUGUCCUACUAGUAUAAAUUAAACAAGUAGGAUAACCUUAAGGUGCAAAAUGCUGUUAGAUUGUCCUACUAGUAUAAAUUAAACAAGUAGGAUGACCUGAAAGUGCAAAAUGCUUUCAGAUUGUCCUACUAGUAUAAAUUAAAGUACCGGAUUUUCUAUUUGGAUUUACUCUCCAUAGCCUUUGACCAGACAAGGCCCACCUGCAAGGCAGCAGGAAACUCGUGGAAGGCGGGGUCGUUCAUUUC